Molecule: small RNA, 29 nt
Filed under: Bombyx mori (domestic silkworm)
Lineage: Eukaryota; Metazoa; Arthropoda; Insecta; Lepidoptera; Bombycidae
Description: ovarian small RNA-26596
Source: RNAcentral
UCCAAUGCAUGAUGUCACACUGAUAUAGU